RNAcentral lists this long non-coding RNA (326 nucleotides) under Prunus persica (peach). Its description in RNAcentral is "long non-coding RNA (PPER_LNC008111)". The record is from RNAcentral. Lineage: Eukaryota; Viridiplantae; Streptophyta; Magnoliopsida; Rosales; Rosaceae.
UUUAACUUUAGCUUGUUAGGACAAAUGGUCCUGCCUUCAAUUUUGUUAACUUUUCUGUUAAAUGCAAGGGCAAAAUGGUAUUUUUGUAUCAAAAUUGAUUAAAAUAUGAAUAAAAAAUAAAUAAAAUUAUAAAAUUAAAAUUAAGCUCUCCCCCCCCUUUCUAUCCCAAUUUCUACUCCCCCCAAACUUUUUUUUUUCGAUUUUUUAUUUGAUUUUCUUUUAUUGUUAUUUUAAAGAUAUAAUUUUUUAUUCAUUUUUUUUGUUUUAAUGUAAAAAUACCAUUUGGCCAUGCAUUUAACAGAAAAAGUUAACAAAAUUGAAGAUAG